UACGGAGGGUGCAAGCGUUAUCCGGAUUCACUGGGUUUAAAGGGUGCGUAGGUGGGGUGGUAAGUCAGUGGUGAAAUCUCCGAGCUUAACUUGGAAACUGCCAUUGAUACUAUCAUUCUUGAAUAUUGUGGAGGUCAGCGGAAUAUGUCAUGUAGCGGUGAAAUGCUUAGAUAUGACAUAGAACACCAAUUGCGAAGGCAGCUGGCUACACAUAUAUUGACACUGAGGCACGAAAGUGUGGGGAUCAAACAGG
RNAcentral lists this ribosomal RNA (253 nucleotides) under uncultured bacterium. RNAcentral describes it as "partial 16S ribosomal RNA". It matches the Rfam family "Bacterial small subunit ribosomal RNA", at positions 524 to 776 of the family's 1533-position model. The record is from RNAcentral.